This 433-nucleotide ribosomal RNA is filed under the name uncultured bacterium. RNAcentral's name for it is "partial 16S ribosomal RNA". It matches the Rfam family "Bacterial small subunit ribosomal RNA", at positions 29 to 507 of the family's 1533-position model. The record is from RNAcentral.
AACGAACGCUGGCGGCAUGCCUAACACAUGCAAGUCGAACGAGACCUUCGGGUCUAGUGGCGCACGGGUGCGUAACGCGUGGGAACCUGCCCUUAGGUUCGGAAUAACUCCCCGAAAGGGGUGCUAAUACCGGAUAAUGUCUUCGGACCAAAGAUUUAUCGCCUUUGGAUGGGCCCGCGUUGGAUUAGCUAGUUGGUAGGGUAAAAGCCUACCAAGGCGACGAUCCAUAGCUGGUCGGAGAGGAGGACCAGCCACACUGGGACUGAGACACGGCCCAGACUCCUACGGGAGGCAGCAGUGGGGAAUAUUGGACAAUGGGCGAAAGCCUGGUCCAGCAAUGCCGGGUGAGAGAUGAAGGCCUUAGGGUUGUAAAGCUCUUUUACCCGGGAUGAUAAUGACAGUACCGGGAGAAUAAGCUCCGGCUAACUCCGUG